AAUGGGUCAGCGACUUAUAUUCUGUAGCAAGGUUAACCGAAUAGGGGAGCCGAAGGGAAACCGAGUCUUAACUGGGCGUUAAGUUGCAGGGUAUAGACCCGAAACCCGGUGAUCUAGCCAUGGGCAGGUUGAAGGUUGGGUAACACUAACUGGAGGACCGAACCGACUAAUGUUGAAAAAUUAGCGGAUGACUUGUGGCUGGGGGUGAAAGGCCAAUCAAACCGGGAGAUAGCUGGUUCUCCCCGAAAGCUAUUUAGGUAGCGCCUCGUGAAUUCAUCUCCGGGGGUAGAGCACUGUUUCGGCAAGGGGGUCAUCCCGACUUACCAACCCGAUGCAAACUGCGAAUACCGGAGAAUGUUAUCACGGGAGACACACGGCGGGUGCUAACGUCCGUCGUGAAGAGGGAAACAACCCAGACCGCCAGCUAAGGUCCCAAAGUCAUGGUUAAGUGGGAAACGAUGUGGGAAGGCCCAGACAGCCAGGAUGUUGGCUUAGAAGCAGCCAUCAUUUAAAGAAAGCGUAAUAGCUCACUGGUCGAGUCGGCCUGCGCGGAAGAUGUAACGGGGCUAAACCAUGCACCGAAGCUGCGGCAGCGACACUAUGUGUUGUUGGGUAGGGGAGCGUUCUGUAAGCCUGCGAAGGUGUGCUGUGAGGCAUGCUGGAGGUAUCAGAAGUGCGAAUGCUGACAUAAGUAACGAUAAAGCGGGUGAAAAGCCCGCUCGCCGGAAGACCAAGGGUUCCUGUCCAACGUUAAUCGGGGCAGGGUGAGUCGACCCCUAAGGCGAGGCCGAAAGGCGUAGUCGAUGGGAAACAGGUUAAUAUUCCUGUACUUGGUGUUACUGCGAAGGGGGGACGGAGAAGGCUAUGUUGGCCGGGCGACGGUUGUCCCGGUUUAAGCGUGUAGGCUGGUUUUCCAGGCAAAUCCGGAAAAUCAAGGCUGAGGCGUGAUGACGAGGCACUACGGUGCUGAAGCAACAAAUGCCCUGCUUCCAGGAAAAGCCUCUAAGCAUCAGGUAACAUCAAAUCGUACCCCAAACCGACACAGGUGGUCAGGUAGAGAAUACCAAGGCGCUUGAGAGAACUCGGGUGAAGGAACUAGGCAAAAUGGUGCCGUAACUUCGGGAGAAGG
This 1129-nucleotide ribosomal RNA is filed under the name Escherichia coli. Its description in RNAcentral is "partial 23S ribosomal RNA". It matches the Rfam family "Bacterial large subunit ribosomal RNA", at positions 614 to 1746 of the family's 2925-position model. The record is from RNAcentral. Lineage: Bacteria; Pseudomonadati; Pseudomonadota; Gammaproteobacteria; Enterobacterales; Enterobacteriaceae.